Molecule: ribosomal RNA, 30 nt
Filed under: Pichia kudriavzevii
Lineage: Eukaryota; Fungi; Ascomycota; Pichiomycetes; Pichiales; Pichiaceae
Also listed under: 1 other name
Description: partial 18S ribosomal RNA
Source: RNAcentral
UUUCCGUAGGUGAACAUGCGGAAGGAUCAU